Molecule: ribosomal RNA, 405 nt
Filed under: uncultured bacterium
Lineage: Bacteria
Description: bacterial SSU rRNA
Rfam family: Bacterial small subunit ribosomal RNA
Source: RNAcentral
GUGGGGAAUAUUGCACAAUGGGCGCAAGCCUGAUGCAGCGACGCCGCGUGAGCGAAGAAGUAUUUCGGUAUGUAAAGCUCUAUCAGCAGGGAAGAAAAUGACGGUACCUGACUAAGAAGCUCCGGCUAAAUACGUGCCAGCAGCCGCGGUAAUACGUAUGGAGCAAGCGUUAUCCGGAUUUACUGGGUGUAAAGGGAGCGUAGACGGAGAGGCAAGUCUGAUGUGAAAGGCGGGGGCUCAACCCCUGGACUGCAUUGGAAACUGUUUUUCUUGAGUGCCGGAGAGGUAAGCGGAAUUCCUAGUGUAGCGGUGAAAUGCGUAAAUAUUAGGAGGAACACCAGUGGCGAAGGCGGCUUACUGGACGGUAACUGACGUUGAGGCUCGAAAGCGUGGGGAGCAAACAGG